RNAcentral lists this ribosomal RNA (497 nucleotides) under uncultured bacterium. RNAcentral describes it as "partial 16S ribosomal RNA". It matches the Rfam family "Bacterial small subunit ribosomal RNA", at positions 899 to 1397 of the family's 1533-position model. The record is from RNAcentral.
ACUCAAAUGAAUUGACGGGGGCCCGCACAAGCGGCGGAGCAUGUGGCUCAAUUCGAUGCAACGCGAAGAACCUUACCUGGGCUGAACUAUGCGGGAAAAGCCGUAGAAAUACGGUGUCCUUCGGGGCCCGUGAUAGGUGGUGCAUGGCUGUCGUCAGCUCGUGUCGUGAGAUGUUGGGUUAAGUCCCGCAACGAGCGCAACCCUUACCCUAUGUUGCCAGCGGAUUAUGCCGGGGACUCGUAGGGGACUGCCGGUGCCAAACCGGAGGAAGGUGGGGACGAGGUCAAGUCAUCAUGCCCCUUACGUCCAGGGCUGCACACAUGCUACAAUGGUCGGUACAAAGGGCUGCAAUACCGCGAGGUGGAGCUAAUCCCAUAAAGCCGAUCUCAGUUCGGAUCAUAGUCUGCAACUCGACUGUGUGAAGUCGGAGUCGCUAGUAAUCGCAGAUCAGCAAUGCUGCGGUGAAUACGUUCCCGGGCCUUGUACACACCGCCCGU